GCCUAAUGGGGUCUGACCUCACCCUGUUUGGAGGUGGCCUUGUAAGAGCAAGAGCAAGGUCCACCAGAGAACAUCUGUUAACCUCUUCCCCAGCUCUUAGAGAAAAGAGCUGGAACCACAAAUUUACAGACACUGCUGAGGCCUGGGACCACCCAGUGGGGAGAUCUCUGGUGGAGGGAGCAGAGGAAGGAAAGAGGAAGGAUAUCAAAGAGUUGCAGAGUCAGAGGAGAAGGGAUGGCCCCGAGAGCACUGACAAUGUGUGUGGUAUGGUCUCUGCCCAGGCCAGCAGCAAGGGAAUGGAGGAGGACUUCCCUCUCUGCACAAGAAGUGAAUCUGGAGAAGAGACACCUGGCGUAUUUAGAGAGCCAAUGGCUCCUUCAUCUCCAAAGGAAUCUUGGGAACUUGCUGCCAUACAGGAUGGUGAUCAGUUGGACUGCUGGAAUGCACAGGUUGAUUCCCUAAGAUUAUCUUUGGGCUUUGGGGACAUUUGCAUCACAUGUUAAAAACUGGUGAAAAUUCAUUUAAUUUUUUAAUUUUUAAUUUUUUUCUUUUGUCCUUUUAGUGCUGCACCUGUGGCAUAUUCCCAGGCUAGGGGUCUAAUGGGAGCUGUAGCUGCUGGCCUAUGCCAGAGCCACAGCAACGCCAGACCCGAGCUGUGUCUGUGACCUACACCACAGCUCAUGGCGAUCCUUAACCCACUGAGCCAGGCCAAGGAUCAAAGCCGCAACCUCAUGGGUCCUAGUUGGAUUCCUUUCCGCUGCACCAUGACAGGAACUCCUGAAAAUUUAUUUUUAUUUUAAAAUUUCUUACAAGUAUUUCAUCUGUCAUGAGAGAAAAUAAAAAAUUCCAAAGGGAAAAAUGCACACAUUGCUGUGCUCCAUGUCCGAAAAAGCAAAGUGAAUACUUAUCUGCUGCCAAUAUGCUUAAUUAGGGUAGACAAGGGAGGAAACACUUAAAAUUAUGGUUUUGAAAAAAGCCACUGAAGUAAAUAGGCAUGACAUUGAGUGGUCAGACAUCUAUUCCCAAAUUUUUUUUUUUUUUUUUUUUUGUCUUUUUAGGGCCAUACCCGCAGCAUAUGGAGGUUCCCAGGCUAGGGGUUGAAUCAGAGCUACAGCUGAUAGCCUAUGCCACAGCCACAGCAACACGGGAUCUGAGCUGUGUCUGCGACCUGUACCACAGCUCACAGCAAUCCUUGAUCCUUAACCCACUGAAUGAGGCCAGGGAUUGAACCUGCUCAUGCAUACUAGUUGGAUUUGUUUCCUCUAAGCCACAAGGGGAACUCCCUGAUUUUUUUUAAUGCAUCUUUUUACUAUGUUUGUUUUAUAAAAAGAGGAACUCAAAGAGACAAAGUGGGCAUUAAGUAUUUUUAUAAAAUAUUCUGUAGAUUUAACAAUGCAGCUCUUUAAAAUUUUUCACUCCUGUAAAACAGAGAGCAAGAUUUUAUUAUUAAUAGCGGAC
RNAcentral lists this long non-coding RNA (1458 nucleotides) under Sus scrofa (pig). Its description in RNAcentral is "lncRNA (ENSSSCG00045030539.1)". Lineage: Eukaryota; Metazoa; Chordata; Mammalia; Artiodactyla; Suidae. The record is from RNAcentral.